Cervus elaphus (red deer) is the source of this 390-nucleotide long non-coding RNA. RefSeq lists it as uncharacterized. The transcript has 3 exons. The record is from RefSeq and is a predicted model, not a curated record. NCBI's taxonomy places the organism in Eukaryota, Metazoa, Chordata, Mammalia, Artiodactyla, Cervidae.
GCCGAGUUUGCCCCUUUCCCCUCCUCCCUGCCUCCUGCCUCCGGUGGCGGAUGGGCCGGUCCGGCUUCGGCUAGCUCUUCUCUGGAAACCCCUCAGAGGGCACCCUUGCCUUAGAGGACAACUCUCCAGGAGCUCUUGGGGCAGUCGGUGGGCAGCAUUUCACAGGCUGUUGGCCUCUGUGCAAGAUUUUACAACAUGGCAAACCAGAGCUAACUGGGUCUAACUGGGACUUAGGCAAGCAGGUUGGGGCAGAGGGAAUGAGAGGUGCUGACUCUCAUUUCUCUCCCCACAAUGCUCCUUCGUCAGCUGCCUCCUAUGACUUCCAGGUGGAUGUUGUGUGUAAACCUGCAGCAAGACUUCAGUGCUGGCUCCAACGUUCAAUAGCUCUGC